Molecule: ribosomal RNA, 497 nt
Filed under: uncultured bacterium
Lineage: Bacteria
Description: partial 16S ribosomal RNA
Rfam family: Bacterial small subunit ribosomal RNA
Source: RNAcentral
GAUGAACGCUGGCGGCGUGCCUAAUACAUGCAAGUCGAGCGAACAGACGAGGAGCUUGCUCCUCUGACGUUAGCGGCGGACGGGUGAGUAACACGUGGAUAACCUACCUAUAAGACUGGGAUAACUUCGGGAAACCGGAGCUAAUACCGGAUAACAUGUUGAACCGCAUGGUUCAACAGUGAAAGACGGUCUUUCUGUCACUUAUAGAUGGAUCCGCGCCGCAUUAGCUAGUUGGUAAGGUAACGGCUUACCAAGGCAACGAUUCGUAGCCGACCUGAGAGGGUGAUCGGCCACACUGGCACUAAGACACGGUCCACACUCCUACGGGAGGCAGCAGUAGGGAAUCUUCCGCAAUGGGCGAAAGCCUGACGGAGCAACGCCGCGUGAGUGAAGAAGGUCUUCGGAUCGUAAAACUCUGUUAUUAGGGAAGAACAAAUGUGUAAGUAACUAUGCACGUAUUGACGGUACCUAAUCAGAAAGCCACGGCUAACUACGUG